ACUCUAGAAUAAGAACCCAACGAUUUGGUUAGGCAAAGUUUUAUUUCCAUUCAAAUUUUUUGUGGGAAUAGAAAUAUUCUAAAUUUUAUUCUGAUUCUGAUUUCGAUUAUGAACCACUAGGAUUUCUAUUCUAAUCCAUUUCAAUUUCGAUUUCAAUUCUCAUUCUGGUCGCUUGCCAAUGACAUUUUACAUGCAAACGAGUACGCAAGAAUGGAUCUAAAUGGCUAAAUCAUAUUAUUCCAGAUUCCCAUUUUAGCAAACCAAAUAUCACCUCGCUAUAAAGCAGAUGUUCUCGUGGGAAUGGUUUUAAGUAAACCCGGUGCGGUCCAAAGCCAGCGGUCAAGAAAUUCCUCUCUGCCGAGGGUGCGCUAAAAUCUAGCACAUUUUUACAGCGCCGAGCUCGGAGGCCCCGGGAGCCACACGCACUCGCAAUAUUUUGUGGCGCCGUGCUUCUUUCUCGAUCCCAAUGACAGACCAUUCAGUAUGCAGUUCCAAUACUCACCGCCGACACUGCAAAAACUCCUGUGGCGGCACGCAGUCUCUCCUCCCAAGAAUCAACUAAUCGUGCCAAUCUAUGCCCGCUAUCCAAAAGCAGCAAGAAUGGAGAUAAUAAAGUUGGACAUUUUGCCCCCUUCUCAAGUCCAUCAGAUCCUGCUACAAUUGAUGAAAAGGAUGGAACUGUCCCACUUUCAGGAAAGCCCUAUUUGCAUGCGUUAUGACAAAGUCUCAAGUGCAGGCCCCCUUUCAAAUGACGAUUCCAAAGAAUUUCUGGACGCUACUUCCAUCUGCCUGCAUUCCUGCAGUCCUCUGUUACCGAAACAAGACCUGGGAGAUGAGAUACUACGGUGAUCGAAACUUGAAAAGAUUUGAUAGUGGAUGGAAACAUUUUGCAG
Molecule: non-coding RNA, 893 nt
Organism: Phoenix dactylifera (date palm)
Lineage: Eukaryota; Viridiplantae; Streptophyta; Magnoliopsida; Arecales; Arecaceae
Source: RefSeq, a predicted model, not a curated record